AUUAAAGUGCAUGAGAAGUGCAGAUAAGCAGGUCCCCAUGUUUGAAUCCCAUACUUUUCUCUCUCUGUUUAUGAGUACAAGUGACGUAUUUCUUUUCAAGUAUUAUAAUAAAAAAAGAUAAUGGUAGUGAAUCAAAAUUUUAAAUUAAAUUUAGCUUAGAAAUUUUGGUUUUUCUAAUUUAUAAACGACGUGAUUAAAAUGUUCCACUUGUAUAAUAAAGGAAAAACGAUAAAUUAAAUAGGAAGUGUUAUUGGCACUUCAAAAAUCUCAUUCUACAUUUCUCACAAGUGUAGUUUUCUUUUUAAAUAUAGAAAGUUUGGAUUGUAGAAUGAGAAUUUUGGAAUGCCAAUAACAAUUCUCAAUUAAAUUUUCAUUUCACAUUAAUUGUAUUUUGUUUUUUUUAUCAAGGUUCUUUGACUUUCGUCCAUGUCAUUACUUAAAUAUUAAAUCAUUUACAUGUCAAUUUCAAAAAUAAAAAAUUUAUUAAUUAACCAUUCCAAAUAUACAUUUUGUAUUUUUCAUAUACUUCUAUUUUUAUUUUGUACCAAUUUUAUAAUGUAUCAAUAUUGUUUUUACUUUUUAUUUGUACCCACAUGAAUUUUAAUUUUAAUAUGCACCCAUAUUUCUUAAUAUAAUUUGUACCAUGUUUUUUUUGCUGAAUGUACCCAUAUCAAUAAUAUUUUUUUUUAAAUAUAUUAAUAAUUAUGCAAAUGCAUUAAUUUUUUUUUUAGAACUAUGAAAAGAAAAAUAUUACUCGAUUAUUGAUUGUUAAGUAAUUAUUAUAUUUUUCAAAAUAUUAUUUGAAUUUGCUUAUAUUUUAUAAUUUGUAGAACAUUAAAUGCAUAAUAAGUACAAAAAUUAAAUCACUUAAAUGAUGUUAGGAAUCUCGAUCAAACUGUUUUAACAAACAAGAUUUCAUUCUAAUAAUUAGUUGGGCUAAGAAUCGGAAGGAAAACAACCUUAGAAAAAGUAUAUAUUAUAAUUAAAAGAAAUAAUAAUGAUAGAAUAGUGUUCUGAAUAAAAAUCGUUCCUCUCUGUUUUGGCUGACUGCUGCGUUUGAUGACACUAGUGCGUACUGAUUAGAUUGAUGCAUGUAUGGUUAAGUGUCACGUGUCCGAAAUGUGAAAGGUGGGGUUUACUUCAUGUAUAAUAUGUAAGAUAUCUUGUGAGUUAACUAGUGCAUUAGUCGAAUUACCGAAGAAUCCAAGGUGCCACUGUGUGCUGGAUUGCAGGCGAGGAUCCUUUCCGGAUCGUUUGUGAGAUGAUUCCAGAAAUUCUCUAAUUACUUUUGUUGAUGCACAAAAUCAAUGAGGACUUUGGUACAACAGAAAAUGUUAAGUUUGUGACCUUCACUAGAUUGCUCCGGUCACCAGUGUGGAUAAAUAUGUAAAUGGAUAGACACAGGGAAGCAAACACAAGAUGUACGUGGUUCACCCAGAUUGGCUACGUCCACGGAGUAAAAGAGUUCUCAUUAAUUGUGAAGGGUUUACACAAGUACAUAGGUUCAAACUCUCCUUUAUUGAGUACAAGUGAAUGAUUUAGUACAAAUAACAUUCGAAAAUAUUGUGAGAGAAUGAUCUCUAUUUAUAGAAGAGAGUUUCUAGUUUCAUUUUGACAUUGACACGUGUCGUGUUGUGAUUCUCUU
RNAcentral lists this long non-coding RNA (1645 nucleotides) under Malus domestica (apple). Its description in RNAcentral is "long non-coding RNA (MDOM_LNC012026)". The record is from RNAcentral. Lineage: Eukaryota; Viridiplantae; Streptophyta; Magnoliopsida; Rosales; Rosaceae.